GAUGAACGCUGGCGGCGUGCCUAAUACAUGCAAGUCGAGCGAACGGACGAGAAGCUUGCUUCUCUGAUGUUAGCGGCGGACGGGUGAGUAACACGUGGAUAACCUACCUAUAAGACUGGGAUAACUUCGGGAAACCGGAGCUAAUACCGGAUAAUAUUUUGAACCGCAUGGUUCAAAAGUGAAAGACGGUCUUGCUGUCACUUAUAGAUGGAUCCGCGCUGCAUUAGCUAGUUGGUAAGGUAACGGCUUACCAAGGCAACGAUGCAUAGCCGACCUGAGAGGGUGAUCGGCCACACUGGAACUGAGACGCGGUCCAGGCUCCUACGGGAGGCAGCAGUAGGGAAUCUUCCGCGAUGGGCGAAAGCCUGACGGAGCAACGCCGCGUGAGUGAUGAAGGUCUUCGGAUCGUAAAACUCUGUUAUUAGGGAAGAACAUAUGUGUAAGUAACUGUGCACAUCUUGACGGUACCUAAUCAGAAAGCCACGGCUAACUACGUG
Molecule: ribosomal RNA, 497 nt
Filed under: uncultured bacterium
Lineage: Bacteria
Description: partial 16S ribosomal RNA
Rfam family: Bacterial small subunit ribosomal RNA
Source: RNAcentral